This 492-nucleotide ribosomal RNA is filed under the name uncultured bacterium. RNAcentral's name for it is "partial 16S ribosomal RNA". It matches the Rfam family "Bacterial small subunit ribosomal RNA", at positions 29 to 507 of the family's 1533-position model. The record is from RNAcentral.
AGUGAACGCUGGCGGUAGGCCUAACACAUGCGAGUCGAACGGCAGCACAGUAAGAGCUUGCUCUUACGGGUGGCGAGUGGCGGACGGGUGAGGAAUACAUCGGAAUCUACUUUUUCGUGGGGGAUAACGUAGGGAAACUUACGCUAAUACCGCAUACGACCUACGGGUGAAAGCAGGGGAUCUUCGGACCUUGCGCGAUUGAAUGAGCCGAUGUCGGAUUAGCUAGUUGGCGGGGUAAAGGCCCACCAGGGCGACGAUCCGUAGCUGGUCUGAGAGGAUGAUCGGCCACACUGGAACUUAGACACGGUCCAGAGUCCUACGGGAGGCAGCAGUGGGGAAUAUUAGACAAUGGGCGCAAGCCUGAUCCAGCCAUACCGCGUGGGUGAAGAAGGCCUUCGGGUUGUAAAGCCCUUUUGUGGGGAAAGAAAAGCAGCAGGUUAAUACCCCGCUGUUCUGACGGUACCCAAAGAAUAAGCACCGGCUAACUUCGUG